RNAcentral lists this ribosomal RNA (253 nucleotides) under uncultured bacterium. RNAcentral's name for it is "partial 16S ribosomal RNA". It matches the Rfam family "Bacterial small subunit ribosomal RNA", at positions 524 to 776 of the family's 1533-position model. The record is from RNAcentral.
UACGUAGGGGGCUAGCGUUGUCCGGAUUUAUUGGGCGUAAAGAGCGUGUAGGCGGCCAGGUAGGUCUGCUGUGAAAACUCGAGGCUCAACCUCGAGAUGUCGGCGGAAACCAUCUGGCUAGAGUCCGGAAGAGGAGAGUGGAAUUCCUGGUGUAGCGGUGAAAUGCGCAGAUAUCGGGAAGAACACCCAUGGCGAAGGCAGCUCUCUGGGACGGUACUGACGCUGAGACGCGAAAGCGUGGGGAGCGAACAGG